GGGAAGUGACGCUUCUCGUAACCUCGUUUAGCAGAAGCGAAGUUCUUAACCACCACCGCUCCCCUUCCCGCCGCCGCGGAGCCCGGGGCCGGCGGUCUAGGGUUCCGAACGCCGGGGGGAUGGCUGCGCCGCCGGGGCGGGUGCUCGUCGACCUCGACGGCGACGUGCUGGCCAACUGCGCCCGGUUCCUCGGCGCCCGCGACGUGGCCAGCCUCGCCAUGGCCUGCCGCCCCCUCCGCGCCGCCGCCUACUGCGACGCCGUCUGGUACCGCCUCUUCAGGGAGCGAUGGCCAUUUCAACACUUACCUCGUGGAGCUUUGGGACUUAGAGAGCUAUAUAUUCACAGGCACACUGAAGUACAUCAGAUGAAAUUUGCUGAUCCCAUUUCAGCUAUUUAUUAUCCAAAUCCCGCAGUAGUGACACCAAGCCAUCUAAUGCUGGAUAGGAACUACAUAUGGUUAUCUCAAGGUCCAAUGGCCAGAAGAUUGAGGGUUGAUUGUCCAGAAAUUGAAUUAGUGGAAACCUACAGGUCUCAUAGUGCAAGGAUAACUUGUAUGAGGUUAUUUCCACUGAUUGACACUCCGUUGUUUCGAGGUGAUUCUCAAACAAAUGAAAAGGCAUUAGUCACUUCAAGUGCAGAUCGAACGGUCCGUGUUUGUUGGAAGGGCCAUUCACGCUGUUUUAAGGGCCAUUCAGGGCCUGUGACUGCUCUGUCUGACAAAUUGCUUGGUGAUGGUGAAUUUAAAAUACUUGCAAGUGGAGGGGAAGACUGCACCGUUCGCCUCUGGUCUAUGAGUUUAAGAGGCAAAAAUCACCCUCUAAUAUCAACGUUUCAUGGCCAUGAAAAAACACUGUCUCUUCUAUCUGUUGCUUGGCAUAAACCCUCCCUGCUGGUAAGCUGCUCCAAAGAUUCGAAGGUUAAAGUUUGGGACACGAAGGCACCACCUUCCUCUGGUUCAUCAUCAUGUGUUGGGAGUACUCACCUAGGCACAAACGGUGCACCAAUUGCUGUGAAGUGCCAUGAUUCCCUUUGUUACAUUGCUGCUGGAUCUGAAGUGACAGCAAUUGACUUGAGAACAAUGAAGAAGGCUUCUGUUCUUGCUCUUCGUGACCAUCGAAUACUUUCUUGUGAAAUGCUGCCUUCAGAAUGGUUAAUCUGUACUGGCAUAAAAGACAAGGCCCUUCUGUGGGACAUCCGCAUGUUGCAAGAACCCCCCAAUACGGUGGCAGAACUGCAUUCAGAUGACCGCGUAACAUUUCUUCACUUGGAUCCAUACAAGGUAAUAACAGGAGCACCAUCUGAUGGUCAGGUCCAUGUCUGGGAAACACGGACGGGCCACUUGGUGAACACAUUGAGCUGUGGUGAACCUGCUAAAUCGGUAGGCAUAAGCACACUGUCAGCCAUGGCUGUGGACGGGUGUAGGAUUGCCAUGGUGGGGAGCUCCCUGGAACUCGACAUGGUUCACUACCGAGACUUUCUGAUGUCCUCUAUCCCUAUAUCUUUACCUGGCAACAGCAAGGAGGUUUCCAAGUUCUGGGGGGCCCAACAGUACAGCGACGACGAGGAUGACAACGACGACGAUGAUAACGAGGAACAAGACUAUGAACAUGUUUGGCUCGUAGAAUAAGUUGGCACGGUUUGUUAGACAAAUAUUUGGUUGAUCGCCACAGCUGCGACAAAGUCAUGCCCUUUUUCACCGAGGCGUCCCAUGGAGUGAUACUGUGACGUUGCCAUACCCGUCCAAGUCCAACAAGCUCUCCAGUUUGGCAAUCAAAAGCUAUGAUUUGUAAAGAAGAAGAAAAGGGAUAGGAUCUCAUCCGAGGAAGAUAUUUCCAAGCAAGCUCUGCGUACCAGGUUAGCAUCUUUUGCCAAGUGGAGCUGCUCAUGCUGGCAUCACGCAGGACAGGAAAACUGCAUUGUGUAAGACGGUGUGCACAAGGGAGACCUGGGCGUCGCAUUACCGUGGGCGCCGUAGGUGUUAACUAUCCAUACCGCUGUGUGUUGCUCUGUCAGUGCUUUGGACUUCGCAAUCCUGGAGGAUAAUGCCACAUAUGGGUCCCCUUUAUUUAUGGCUUUUAUUUAUAUGUGCAAUUCUAUUUGAUCUGUACUUAGUUUCGCAAUUAUGUUUACAGCUGAUGUGCACACAGAUUUGUAGUGUCCAGCUCGUUUGUAGUACUAAUUGCAAUGUAGUAAAGGAUGUCUGGCUUGGGGCUAUAUGACAAAUAAAAAGUUUGACAAGUUAUACCACAGUCCUGUGUACGAUUCAAAUGUUGAAAGUAGAUCAACAAAUAUUUCUUCAAAUAUCACCAUCAUCACAAGAACAGGAUGGAGCAUGGUUCUAUCCAGAAGGAAUCUCUGAAGAAACAAAACAAGUGCAUAUCAGUCUGGUCAUCUCUGUUUGCAGCAAAUUUUUCAGACUGGUUCUUGCAUUGCACUGCAUCAUUGCACAUGACAAAUUAGGCAUGCAACCAAGGAGCAGAAAUAACAGUGCUCCUCCUGCAAAAAGCUUCCUCAAAGCUGUUUGCUUCAGCCCACAGGAAUGCUGAUGUGAUGGUCCCUGGUUUCUGGUCUCUUCUCUUUCUGCCUUGCACUUAAGCUAACUAGUUUAAGUAUAAACAUGGAGAUUUUCCUUUUCAAAAGCACCAGUCUCCUUGCUUGUGUGCAGACUGGUAAACAGCAAUUACAAAAAUGUGGACAGCUAAAGCAACUUUUUUGUUGGAAGGCUCACUUUUUUCUGCCGCUAAUUUCGAUGUGAUGGAAGGCCAUUUUUCCUCAUUAAAAAACAUACAAGAAGUGGCUUAUAUUAUAUAUUAUUAUCAGGGUGUAAUCGUCAUCACAAUGAGUGCUUACAUGUGCUUAAUAGGAACGGACUGAAUUACUUAGAUUAUCCAAUUUUUUAUGGUAAUUUUCAAUGUCGGGAUGACGCACAACAUGUAGAAGGAAACUCAUAAACAUG
Oryza brachyantha (malo sina) is the source of this 2957-nucleotide RNA transcript. It is a transcript of the gene named nuclear distribution protein nudF-like, with no coding region annotated. The record is from RefSeq and is a predicted model, not a curated record. NCBI's taxonomy places the organism in Eukaryota, Viridiplantae, Streptophyta, Magnoliopsida, Poales, Poaceae. The transcript has 9 exons.